This 253-nucleotide ribosomal RNA is filed under the name uncultured bacterium. Its description in RNAcentral is "partial 16S ribosomal RNA". It matches the Rfam family "Bacterial small subunit ribosomal RNA", at positions 524 to 776 of the family's 1533-position model. The record is from RNAcentral.
UACGUAGGGCGCAAGCGUUGUCCGGAAUUAUUGGGCGUAAAGAGCUCGUAGGCGGUCUGUCGCGUCCGUUGUGAAAACUCGAGGCUCAACCUCGGGCUUGCAGUGGAUACGGGCAGACUAGAGUGCGGUAGGGGAGACUGGAAUUCCUGGUGUAGCGGUGAAAUGCGCAGAUAUCAGGAGGAACACCGAUGGCGAAGGCAGGUCUCUGGGCCGCAACUUGCGCUGAGGAGCGAAAGCAUGGGGAGCGAACAGG